Molecule: ribosomal RNA, 1317 nt
Filed under: Microbispora sp. LM51A
Lineage: Bacteria; Bacillati; Actinomycetota; Actinomycetes; Streptosporangiales; Streptosporangiaceae
Description: bacterial SSU rRNA
Rfam family: Bacterial small subunit ribosomal RNA
Source: RNAcentral
GGGCAUGCGGCAGCUACCAUGCAGUCGAGCGGAAGGCCCUUCGGGGUACUCGAGCGGCGAACGGGUGAGUAACACGUGAGUAACCUGCCCCUGACUCUGGGAUAAGCCUGGGAAACCGGGUCUAAUACCGGAUACGACCAUUUCUCGCAUGUGAUGGUGGUGGAAAGUUUUUUCGGUUGGGGUUGGGCUCGCGGCCUAUCAGCUUGUUGGUGGGGUGAUGGCCUACCAAGGCGACGACGGGUAGCCGGCCUGAGAGGGCGACCGGCCACACUGGGACUGAGACACGGCCCAAACUCCUACGGGAGGCAGCAGUGGGGAAUAUUGCGCAAUGGGCGGAAGCCUGACGCAGCGACGCCGCGUGGGGGAUGACGGCCUUCGGGUUGUAAACCUCUUUCAGCAGGGACAAAGUUGACGUGUACCUGUAGAAGAAGCGCCGGCUAACUACGUGCCAGCAGCCGCGGUAAUACGUAGGGCGCGAGCGUUGUCCGGAAUUAUUGGGCGUAAAGAGCUCGUAGGUGGCUUGUCGCGUCUGCCGUGAAAGCCCGUGGCUUAACUACGGGUCUGCGGUGGAUACGGGCAGGCUAGAGGCUGGUAGGGGCAAGCGGAAUUCCUGGUGUAGCGGUGAAAUGCGCAGAUAUCAGGAGGAACACCGGUGGCGAAGGCGGCUUGCUGGGCCAGUUCUGACGCUGAGGAGCGAAAGCGUGGGGAGCGAACAGGAUUAGAUACCCUGGUAGUCCACGCUGUAAACGUUGGGCGCUAGGUGUGGGGGUCUUCCACGAUCUCUGUGCCGUAGCUAACGCAUUAAGCGCCCCGCCUGGGGAGUACGGCCGCAAGGCUAAAACUCAAAGGAAUUGACGGGGGCCCGCACAAGCGGCGGAGCAUGUUGCUUAAUUCGACGCAACGCGAAGAACCUUACCAAGGUUUGACAUACACCGGAAACACUCAGAGAUGGGUGCCUCCUUUGGACUGGUGUACAGGUGGUGCAUGGCUGUCGUCAGCUCGUGUCGUGAGAUGUUGGGUUAAGUCCCGCAACGAGCGCAACCCUUGUUCCAUGUUGCCAGCACGCCCUUUGGGGUGGUGGGGACUCAUGGGAGACUGCCGGGGUCAACUCGGAGGAAGGUGGGGAUGACGUCAAGUCAUCAUGCCCCUUAUGUCUUGGGCUGCAAACAUGCUACAAUGGCCGGUACAGAGGGUUGCGAUACCGUGAGGUGGAGCGAAUCCCUAAAAGCCGGUCUCAGUUCGGAUUGGGGUCUGCAACUCGACCCCAUGAAGUCGGAGUCGCUAGUAAUCGCAGAUCAGCAACGCUGUCUUAUGUAU